Long non-coding RNA from Argentina anserina (silverweed cinquefoil), 2091 nucleotides. RefSeq lists it as uncharacterized. Lineage: Eukaryota; Viridiplantae; Streptophyta; Magnoliopsida; Rosales; Rosaceae. The record is from RefSeq and is a predicted model, not a curated record. The transcript is spliced from 4 exons.
CUUCUCACCCCUUCUCCAGAAACCAACUUCACUCUCCACAAGUCCUCUCUAGCGAAAAGCCAAUUUUUACAAAAUUCUUCUUUAAAUUCCUAAAUUCUUGAUGCCCAUUCUUACCAAUUACUGAUCGGGGGUCUAGUAGAGUUCAAAGAAUUCUAGGUCUAGAGCUUUAGGAUUUCUGGGUUUAGAGUUGGAGGAUUUCUCGAUCUAGAGUUCAAGGACUUAUGGGUCUAGUAUUCGAGGAUUUAUGGGUCUAGUGUUCGAGGACUUCCGGGAUUAGAAUUCGAUGAUUUCUGGGUUUAGUGUUCGAGGGCUUCUGGGUUUUAAUGUUCGAAGACUUCUAGGUUUUGAGCUCGUGGCUUUCUGGGUUCGAGGACGAGGCUUUCUGGGUCGACGAGAAGACGAGGUUUUCUAUGUAUUCUUCAAUUUAAAUUUUGGUCCCAAAUUUUAGGGUUUUAUCUUUUCAAUUCAUUUUAAAGGUUGAAAUGGUAUUCAUUUCAACUAAUAGCAGAUCUACUGGCAUUUGCUAUCCACAAUAUUGGGUAUUAGGUUAUUUAUGUUUGAUUUUGGGGUUCUUUGUUGGAUAUUGCUUUCGACAUUUUGGAAAAUUAGGGCUUUGAUAUGACAAUUUGUAUUUUUGAUCACUAUACGGAGUAUGUAUUCUUGAAUUAUCUCUAUUUUUUGGUCUUCUUGGUUUCUUUCUCUCUUGUCUGGGAUUUGCAGGGUAGGUUAAUUAUUACCUGAUCGAAUCAUGUUAAUUAGCUUCUUUUGUUCUUAUUCCAUAAGAAUGAAGCUAGUUUGAAGAAGGACCGAUCAAGUUGCUUUGCAUUCGGAACAUCCUAAAUGAAGCAAGGGUGACUGAAGAGGGAGUCGAUGCAACUGAAAGAACCUGGGUGAUGAGAAGCCUAUGGGGGAGGUAGAUGCAGCAAAUGGCAACAAAUAUACUACUGCUGAGGAACUAAAAGAAAAGGAUCAUGAGAAGAAGAAAAUGCAGAUGACCGACCCACCAUGUCAGAUGCGAUGUCUAUGUUGACAAGGGACAGAGUGCCUUCGCCCAAACCAACAAUGCCAUCAUUUUCUAGAUACAAUAAUCUGAUGAGUACUAAUAGUAUAGAAGGAAAUGAGCAAGAAACCAUGUCCUUCAGUGGUUUAUCAAUAUUUGGCCAAAAUAUUGACUACGGUGUAUGUGCUUUCAUAUGUAACUACUUUUAAAUUUUAAUUAAUUGGAUCAUUAUUAAUUUGUUUUGAAUGUGACAUCAUAUUACUUUCUCACUGUUUUUUUUGUUCAUUAUAAAAAAUUGACUAGUACUGUGAUUCUUCUAUUCAUUGAUAACUCACCAGUUGCUAAUGCUCUCCCUUUCUUUUUAUGAAGGUUUAGUUUUGUCUUCUUUUACUUUGUAAAUUUGCUCCUUUCUUUGUGGAUCUAGUACAUCUAUCUUAGUAUCUUACUGCAUGUGUGCUUUGUUCAUCUAACAUCUUCAAGUUCCUAAAAGGUAUGUACGUAUUGAUGCUAACUUGGUGACAUUGUUUACAACAUGUCGCAAAUCUGUCUAACAAAACUCUUUUGCUUCUUGCAGGGAUUUGAGAACGGGGAGCAAAUGUAUAUGGACCGGGAAUGUUCCUGUUUCAUAUUUGAAUUUGUGUUGUCGUAACUCCUAAGAAGCUUGCUGCGAUCUUCAAAUUCAGUUGCUAUUGUGACAUUUCCACCUAAUCUUCUUUCAUCAUCCUCAUCUACAAGAUGGCAACAUGUGGCGGACACCUUGAUGUGUUAGUUGAAGUGAUUCAUGUUGUUCGGUACGCAGUAGUAACUUGCUAUAAGUAGUUAGAUAUGCAUUGUAAGCAUCGAUCUGAAGGUUGAAUUUGGACAUGGCCGAUGUCGCAUCUUUUGCGAGCUAUUUUGAUGUGCAAGUUGUUUAGUUGGUUGCCCUUGGAUCAAAAGCCAAUCAAUGGUUGAGAUAAUUCUGCCGAGCUCACUGGACCUUUGAGUAAUGAUUCGAUCAUAUUUCCCUGUAGGAAUAAGAUAUUGAUUUGAUUCCAAAUCAUACAAAAACUAGACUCACACAACUUUCUAUCCAUAUAAUGUACGUCUUCUAA